GGGAAGAUGGCCGAGCGGUUAUGGCGCUACGUUCAGGUCUUGGCAGCGAACUUUCAAAAGUGUCGCUUCUGAGUAUCGUAGUAGGGCAACCUGCGUGGGUUCGAAUCCCACUCUUCUCA
Emmonsiellopsis sp. PD_5 is the source of this 119-nucleotide non-coding RNA. Lineage: Eukaryota; Fungi; Ascomycota; Eurotiomycetes; Onygenales; Ajellomycetaceae. The record is from the annotation of a GenBank genome assembly.